This 407-nucleotide ribosomal RNA is filed under the name uncultured bacterium. Its description in RNAcentral is "bacterial SSU rRNA". It matches the Rfam family "Bacterial small subunit ribosomal RNA", at positions 355 to 776 of the family's 1533-position model. The record is from RNAcentral. RNAcentral also lists the same sequence under 1 other name.
UGGGGAAUAUUGGGCAAUGGGCGAAAGCCUGACCCAGCAACGCCGCGUGAAGGAAGAAGGUUUUCGGAUUGUAAACUUCUUUUAUCAGGGACGAAGAAAGUGACGGUACCUGAUGAAUAAGCCACGGCUAACUACGUGCCAGCAGCCGCGGUAAUACGUAGGUGGCAAGCGUUAUCCGGAUUUACUGGGUGUAAAGGGCGCGUAGGCGGGGAUGCAAGUCAGAUGUGAAAUCUAUGGGCUUAACCCAUAAACUGCAUUUGAAACUGUAUCUCUUGAGUGUCGGAGAGGUAGACGGAAUUCCUAGUGUAGCGGUGAAAUGCGUAGAUAUUAGGAGGAACACCAGUGGCGAAGGCGGUCUACUGGACGAUAACUGACGCUGAGGCGCGAAAGCGUGGGGAGCAAACAGG